UACGGAGGGUGCGAGCGUUGUCCGGAAUCACUGGGCGUAAAGGGCGCGUAGGUGGCGCGGGCAGUCAACGGUGAAAGUUCGGGGCUCAACCCUGAAUCGGCCGUCGAUACUCCCGGGCUUGAGCACUGUAGAGGCAGAUGGAAUUCCGGGUGUAGCGGUGGAAUGCGUAGAGAUCCGGAAGAACACCGGUGGCGAAGGCGGGUCUCUGGGCCGAUACUGACGCUGAGGAGCGAAAGCGUGGGGAGCGAACAGG
This 253-nucleotide ribosomal RNA is filed under the name uncultured bacterium. Its description in RNAcentral is "partial 16S ribosomal RNA". It matches the Rfam family "Bacterial small subunit ribosomal RNA", at positions 524 to 776 of the family's 1533-position model. The record is from RNAcentral.